RNAcentral lists this ribosomal RNA (496 nucleotides) under uncultured bacterium. RNAcentral's name for it is "partial 16S ribosomal RNA". It matches the Rfam family "Bacterial small subunit ribosomal RNA", at positions 29 to 507 of the family's 1533-position model. The record is from RNAcentral.
AUGAACGCUGGCGGCGUGCCUAAUACAUGCAAGUCGAGCGAACAGACGAGGAGCUUGCUCCUUUGACGUUAGCGGCGGACGGGUGAGUAACACGUGGGUAACCUACCUAUAAGACUGGGAUAACUUUGGGAAACCGGAGCUAAUACCGGAUAAUAUUUCGAACCGCAUGGUUCGAUAGUGAAAGAUGGCUUUGCUAUCACUUAUAGAUGGACCUGCGCCGUAUUAGCUAGUUGGUAAGGUAACGGCUUACCAAGGCAACGAUACGUAGCCGACCUGAGAGGGUGAUCGGCCACACUGGAACUGAGACACGGUCCAGACUCCUACGGGAGGCAGCAGUAGGGAAUCUUCCGCAAUGGGCGAAAGCCUGACGGAGCAACGCCGCGUGAGUGAUGAAGGUCUUCGGAUCGUAAAACUCUGUUAUUAGGGAAGAACAAACGUGUAAGUAACUGUGCACGUCUUGACGGUACCUAAUCAGAAAGCCACGGCUAACUACGUG